UAAACCAACACAGUACAAAAGUGAGGGGAAAACAGUGUGAGACCAAUUAAAACAAAUUGGUAAUGAAAGCAACAGCUGGACGUCAACAUGUUCUGCUCUGUUAAUGGCAUGUCAACAGGGUGAAUAUUAGAGAAACCGGUGCUGUCUGAAGGAAAGGAGAAACCAGGACCCUAGUGGGAAAGAGCAGACCUGAACCUCGCCGGAGGCAUUCUUGCCCACUCACUUGGGAAGGCCACAGGCACCAACGAAAACCCAUUCAAGGAACUUUUCUCUGCUCUAAAGCCUCCCACUGAACUGCCACCUCAGGAGUAACAUCCCUUUCACCUUAAUGCAGAGCUCAUUUGACAAAUGAGGUCAUGACAGAGAGGAAUAGUCAACAGAGCCUGAAAAGCAGUGGGAAGUGAGGGACCUGGGUUUUGAGUCCAGUGCUGUCAUUAUGAUCUUGGUCCCUGCUGCAAUGCAAACACCUCGUCUGUAAAGAGAGAGGGAUAAUACCUUUGUUUUCUCCCCCUGGCUUACAGGAGUAUCUUGAAGAUGACAUGAGAAAUUACAUAUGAUGACAGUUUGGAAAUUGCAAACAUUGCUCAUCAAAUAAGGAACUCUUCUUAAAUAGCUGGUCGGCAUGUUUUUAAAAACCAAUUUCGUAACUGUUUCAGAGCAUGUGAACGACCUCUCGAUCAACGUAGAAUAAGAAGAGGAAACCAAACCCUAAGGCUGCUGAUAUGGUCUCAUGCAGACUGCCAGUCCCCUGACAUGAUCUUAGCAGGAAGCCUUUCUGCUCCUUGGUCACUUCACACCCCCUGAGCCUCAUGGAUGGGAGGACUCAGCCCAGGGAUUCACCUCCUUGAUUCCUGGGUUAAGGAGACUGACACAAUCGCACAAGACUGAUGUUUAUACUCUCCUUUUCUUAAAACCUGCCCCAACCCAGGACCAGAUUCAUGGGUCAGACUCAGUGCUUCAUUCUGAGAGCUGCUAAAGCUGUUAUGCAACUCUCUUUGAGAAAUAAAUCAGAAGAACAGAAGUUGAAAUUGAAAAACUGACCUGUCUCUUAGUUAUUCGUAAGCAUUAGAUCGCUUCUCUACCGAGUAGGUCUAAGCCAUUCUUUUUAAUCUUAUGGCAAAUAUCUUUAAAAUGUUUAUACUGCUUUGACAUUAUUUUGUAUUUUAAACUUUUGAAAACAAUUCUCAUGCUUUUUCAUGUCUCAGCUUUGUUAUAUGCCACCCAUUCUCUCUUUUGUGCAUGCCCUGUGAAUGCGUCCCACAUAAAUGUUUAUUUGUGCCAGAUCAUCAUAUGCUAGUAUUGGCAAUUCAGUAAUAAAAAGAUAUCACUAUUUCCCAACUUUCGAUAACAAAUAUAAAGUAAUGUCACCAAGGAUAUAUAACUCUGAUAUAUUUUAAGCUAAGAAAGACAUCAGAAAAUAAGACAUUUUUGAAAGAUUUUCUAAUAUCCCAAAGAGAGAGAAAAGCCAUGGGCUUUAAAAAACAAAAUAAAGAUGUCCUUUUCCAGAAAUGACCCAUGUGAGAACAUAAAUAGAAAGAGACAAAAGUAAAGGAAUUUGAACAGAAUUAAAGUAAAUCAAGAAACAAAGAAAAGGAAUUUAUAUAGAUCAGGUUACAGAAUUGAUGGGGGGAAAAAGGCCAGUAUUGGGUUCAAGAGAAAAAGAUUACAGAACAUGUUAUCCCCUAAUUAAAAAGAAGGAAUUAAAUAAUACAUGUAUUUUUAGACCUGUCUGAGGAACAAUGAAAGUUAGAGAGACAGGAUAAGGGAUAGGAGCUAUGCCAGGCCAUCAAUCUGAGAAUGAAGAGGGAAUUGUGGUAUGGAGUUUGAAGGCCUGGGUUUGAUACAAACUUCAUCACUUAUUAGCUUUGUGACCUUGCACCAGUCAUUUAAUGUUUCUUAAGCAUGUCUACUUCUGCAUUUGUAUGGUGGAAAUUAUGCCUGCCUAAUGGUGUCUGGUGAGGGUUAUACAAGGAUAAUACAGAUAAGUUUUAUAGACUUCAAAGACCUUCUGAAUAUGCAGGUCAAUAACUCAUAAACACAAUUAUUUUAAAAUCAUACCUUGCAGCACCAAAUGUUUACCAGAUUGUUCAUGAAAUAUAAUUCAUGAAGCAUUGAUUCAACCAACAUUAGUUGAACACAUACUAUAUGUCUGUGAAUGUGCUAAGUGCUAGGGAUAUGAAGAUGAGCCAUAAGUAGCUAUGCAUAAUGAUAAAUGAAACCUUUGAGGAAUAAACAAAGUAGCAUUACGUAUGGUCAGGCCAGUUUCAGGGAGAAAACAACAUUUAAA
This is a long non-coding RNA of Manis pentadactyla (Chinese pangolin), 2287 nucleotides long. RefSeq lists it as uncharacterized. Lineage: Eukaryota; Metazoa; Chordata; Mammalia; Pholidota; Manidae. The transcript has 3 exons. The record is from RefSeq and is a predicted model, not a curated record.